CAAUCUGCCCGGAGGUGGGGGAUAACUCUCGGAAACGGGGGCUAAUACCGCAUGAUAUCUCGAGGACUCCGGUCCUUGCGAUCAAAGCUAGCCUCUUCUUGAAAGCUAGCGCCAUCGGAGGAGCUCGCGGCCCAUUAGCUUGUUGGUGAGGUAACGGCUCACCAAGGCUACGAUGGGUAGCCGGCCUGAGAGGGCGAUCGGCCACACUGGAACUGAGACACGGUCCAG
Molecule: ribosomal RNA, 228 nt
Filed under: uncultured bacterium
Lineage: Bacteria
Description: partial 16S ribosomal RNA
Rfam family: Bacterial small subunit ribosomal RNA
Source: RNAcentral